Long non-coding RNA from Cavia porcellus (domestic guinea pig), 2494 nucleotides. The record is from Ensembl. NCBI's taxonomy places the organism in Eukaryota, Metazoa, Chordata, Mammalia, Rodentia, Caviidae.
GAGCAGUCGUGCUCUGCACAGGUUUCUGCCUCUGACCCUGUCCUGUUCUUCCUCACAGUUCAGCCCCUCAGAGUGGAUCGAGGCUCAGAGGAGCUCCGGCCUGCAGUCACAGAGGUGGCAGAUGGCGUGCCUGACUCUCAAGCUCCAUGCCCGCCACAGCCCCUGACUUCAAUACGCAUCCUCGGGGACCAUCGUCCAGAGGCGAAGAUGUGCGCUGCUUGGUCUCCAGGAUGAACUCGUCACACUGGCUUCCUGGCAUGUACCUGACUGUGCUUAUUGUUGGAGGAGCUCGGGACCUCCAUGUCGCUGAGGAUGGCUGUGGUGCCUUUCAGGACAGCCCUGGUCCUUGUUGUGAGGGUGACUUCUCAGCUCCAGCAUAGAACCCUCACCCCAUCAGCACAGCUCCUUCACCCUGCUGACAUGGACUUUCUGGCUUCUAUCGCUGACCUUUAGGCCUUCCUGGCACAGAUCUGUAAAAGACUGGCAUGAGUCCUUCUUGUGGGCUCUGGACCUACAGAUGGACUCGUGGGAGGCGUUGUCAUGAGCUCUAAGUUUUCAUCUGGACUCAUGUGGGACAUUGCUGUAGGGUUUAGGCCCUUGACUAAAUAUUUUAGGUCUUUGGUGUUUCGGAUAGAUUUCCUGCAUUUUCUUGUGUUAACUCAUGGUGACCAUUAUAAACAUAAUAUUAUAAACUCCAUGUCCUGAUUCUAAUUGUUCUCUGCACAACCCCUGACUACAAUACAAACCCAUUUGUCUAAGGCACGCAGCUAGGAAGAACAUUCCUUAACCAGAGUGCUUUAAACUCCAGACCUUUAUUCAUUACAUGUACAGCCUCUUGAGAACAAAAAAUGGGCUCCUAACCUGUUUUUGAAAUCUACAUCAGACCACUUCCUUUUUUCUGCAUAUAUAAAUAAGGAUAGAGACUCGGCUUUACAAAUUUAAUCAUUCCAUUUCUUUCUCCCACAAACCAACCUUUACCAAGUGCUCAGAGAGGUUCAGUUAAAUUCAUAGCCCAAGAAAAAUGUAUCUUUGUGAUUAAUAUGUGUUAAAAUGAGGAGUGACAUGGUAAUAAAAUGGAAAGGUUUGGGGGCCUUUGGGGAAAUCCAUCUGACUGCAGGCUGUGGUUCCAGUAAUGAGGCUGCUAUUUUGUGGUCACAGAGGUAAUGUUUUCUGAUGCAGGCAGAAUGAUUAACAAGGAGAAAAUACCUGCCUAGCGGGAGGAGGGGAACAGGGGGAAGUAGCCUGUUGGCAAAUGGCUCAGGGGGGAAGACCACUUGCUUUUUCCUCCUACAUUUUCAGGAGAACUUUCAGUUAAGUGCUAUGAGCAGAAGUAGUGCAUUUUUCUGCUCUUUUGUUCUCAUGUUAAUUCAUACAGUGGUGUGUGUAGGUGUGAGUGUGUGUGUAAGGAUGGAUUCAAGGUGGAAGACAAGAAGAAACUGCAUUUAGGUGAUCUAUUUGGUAGAUCUUCCAGAAUUUAGGUCAGACUUGCCAUUGUAUUCUUUCCCAGAGUGCUGGCUUGCUUGGCAACUGAAGUGAUAGCAGCUGUGGGACCCUGGGAGGCUGCUAUGGCUCUGUGUGUGAGAGCACCCACAGAUACUCACAGCCUGCUUUCCCCCAGUUAGUCCUUUUUCCGUAAGCUUCCUGAAGAAUACAUGUGUAAAAUUAACACUAUUAUUACAAGUAUUUGGAUUCAAACCUCAAAGUUGGAAUCAGCUGGCCAGGUGUUUCCUCUGGUUGAGGCUGGGGCAGGCUAGAGGAAAGUGAGGGGAGAUCAAAUGGAUCUUUUCUCUCUAAUGUUAGGAUACUGAUACAAAAAGAAAGGUGCAGAAAAAAAAGGAGAGAAAAAGUAUCUGACCCCACUGUCUCCACAAGCUAUUCUAGGCUGGGUAAAACUCAGAUUUAACUCUUAUGCCAGAGUAAGAUUAAACAUCCAAAAAGUAUGAGAAUGGCUAUACAGAUUCCCCAGCAAGCUGUAUCAACUGCUUGUGUUUCUUUGAGAAUAACACCCUUAGACAAGGCAGUCCAAUCUGUUUUCUUGACCCUGACUCCUCUGUGUACAUGGCGGUGUAAGAGGUUGGUGUGCAGGUACCUAAGCUUUCCAUUCUGGUUUAUCCUUUAGAGGAACACAGAAACCAUGAGCACUCCAGAGACCGAAGGGGAAAGUGUUAUUGAUACUCUUUGUUAUCUUCUCCUCCCCAUUACAUGCUUCUCCAUAGCUUUUUGCCCUAGUUAGAUUUUGGAUGCAAAAGGUAUUUUCCUCAAAUACUUUGUUCUGUAUUUUCUGUUGGAAUGAUUUUCCUCAAGCAUAAUUUUCACGAUAUCCCCAAAUGCUCAAAACUAUCCCAUAUGUCCACCACAGUCUGGGGUACAAAUUACCAAUUUGUUCCCUCUAUUGCUUUGUAAAUAAAGUUUUGUUGAAACCCAGCUAUACUCUUUCAUUUAUAUAUUAUCUCCUGCUGUUUUUAUGCUGCACCAUUAGAGGUGUGUGGUUGUG